RNAcentral lists this long non-coding RNA (440 nucleotides) under Carica papaya (papaya). Its description in RNAcentral is "long non-coding RNA (CPAP_LNC001164)". Lineage: Eukaryota; Viridiplantae; Streptophyta; Magnoliopsida; Brassicales; Caricaceae. The record is from RNAcentral.
UGUUACCUCAGUUGAAUAGGGUUGGAAAGUCCCUUACUGAAAAGGUUUGAGAGAUACGGUUCACCCUCAUACCGAACAGGAUAUCGAGACGAUGGAAUAUUUGGCGCUAAUUACCAAGCAGGGUAUAAGGAUGCCCAGUUAAUUGUUUGAAUUAGAUAUUGGGUUCACAAGAAGGAGGACAUCACUACAGACCCCCAAAGGUACUAGUAAGCAGGUAAGAAAGGAAAGUUAUCAUCUCUUAUUCUCUUAUGCAUAAAAUAAAAAGUGGUAUAAAUAUGAGUAUUCAUAGGUUGUUUUUGGAAAAUUCGUUAUGGUAAGUUCGGAAUAAAUGAUUUUUCUUUACAGUGAAUGAAUUUACUCAAAUUAAGGGCUCCAUUAGUUUACCAAAUCUUCAGUUUUUCGUAUAUGUUAAUAGUGUAAUAUUCUUACUGGGAUAGUAU